This 749-nucleotide ribosomal RNA is filed under the name Tetragonicipitidae sp. DZMB699. Its description in RNAcentral is "eukaryotic LSU rRNA". It matches the Rfam family "Eukaryotic large subunit ribosomal RNA", at positions 117 to 757 of the family's 3401-position model. Lineage: Eukaryota; Metazoa; Arthropoda; Copepoda; Harpacticoida; Tetragonicipitidae. The record is from RNAcentral.
AACUGCAGACCACCUUGGUCCUGUGGGAUGUUGCGUUUGGGAGAGUCUCAUUGGCAGCUGGAGGGCCAGUCAAAGUCCAACUUGACAGUGGCCACUGCCCACAGAGGGUGAUAGGCCCGUAAGGCGGCCGUCCGCUGCUGCUGACUCCUCCCCCAGAGUCGGGUUGCUUGGGAGUGCAACCCAAAGUGCGAGGUAAACUGCUUGUAAGGCUAAAUAUCACCCCAAGACCGAUAGCAAACAAGUACCGUGAGGGAAGAUUGAAAAGAACUUUGAAGAGAGAGUUCAAUAGUACGUGAAACUGUGUGGUGGUAAACGGAGGGGCUCUUGAAGCUCCUGCAAGGGACUCAGCCUUGGAGCUGGGCAGCAGGUGCACGGUGGAUCAGCAAUGGCCCUGUGCACCGCAUUCUGUCUCCGGCUUUCGGGUGCAUUUUCCAUGCAGGUUACGGCAGGAACGGUUGGCUGUGUGUGUGGACCAAAGGCCUUGGAUGAAGUUGCCACCACUCCGUGUGGUGGCAGCCCUGGGUGUUCUGGCUCCGACGCCGACUGGUACUGGAGGGAACUCAUAUAAUGAGUAAUGCUUUGUUGCGGUUCCCAUCUCUCUGCCGAGUAGGUCAGUGGCCCCUCUGACCCGUCUUGAAACACGGACCAAGGAGUCUAACAUGUGUGCAAGCCAAUGGGCUGGCUAAACCCAGCGGCGCAGUGAAAGCAAAGAGUAGUAUGUCUGCUCGAGGGACGAUCCACAAGGCGCA